UACAUGUGGGGCAAGCGUUAAUCGGAAUUACUGGGCGUAAAGCGUGCGCAGGCGGUUAUUUAAGUCAGGUGUGAAAGCCCUGGGCUUAACCUAGGAAUUGCGCUUGAGACUGGAUAGCUUGGAGUGCGGCAGAGGGAGGUGGAAUUCCACGUGUAGCAGUGAAAUGCGUAGAGAUGUGGAGGAACACCGAUGGCGAAGGCAGCCUCCUGGGCCAGCACUGACGCUCAUGCACGAAAGCGUGGGGAGCAAACAGG
Molecule: ribosomal RNA, 254 nt
Filed under: uncultured bacterium
Lineage: Bacteria
Description: partial 16S ribosomal RNA
Rfam family: Bacterial small subunit ribosomal RNA
Source: RNAcentral